RNAcentral lists this long non-coding RNA (1246 nucleotides) under Anas platyrhynchos platyrhynchos (common mallard). RNAcentral's name for it is "lncRNA (ENSAPLG00000019860.1)". The record is from RNAcentral. Lineage: Eukaryota; Metazoa; Chordata; Aves; Anseriformes; Anatidae.
UUCAGUCUUUAUAUUUUUCUAAUUAUUACUUUUAUUUCUUUUAAGGGUCCCUUCCACCAGUCCCAUCUGAAGAACUUUUCAGUAUUUUCAUUUUCUUUCCUGAUUUCAGUGGUGAAGCUGUCCCAGAACUGAAGCUAACUGAUUGGGAGCAAGGUACUGAAACAUAACCUCAGCCAUAUGGAGCAGAAGUGAAACACAAUAUUGAUGAGGAUCAUUUGAGUAACUGGGAAAAGGAAAUGCUGCCACGGCACCUGCCACAAGCUGAAGGCUGGAAGAGCAGCCACCAUGUCACUCCCAGAACAUCUUGCUCAACUGUGUGCAGGGGAGGGAAAGAAACCAGAGGGGGAAGAAUCCCAGCAGCAGCCCAGGUCUCAUACAUGAAGCCUCACCUUCUUCAGAAUAGUAAGAAGGGAUCAAAGAAUCAAGGGUUUUGAGGAACCAAAAUGCAAGCCAGAGAAAAAAAUAUUAAUUUGAAGGUAUGCCUUAUUGGUUGUCUUAAGUGUAGUGUUUCCAUUCAAUGAAAUUAAAUGUACAUUCCCAUAAUUAAUUCCCUUUUCUGGCAGUUACAUCAAUUAGCAUGUAACAUGGAUAAAGAGAAGAGGCAGUGGUUGGUAUUUUGCCUUCAGCAGCCGGCAGUGCAAUAUGUUAAGCCAUCAAGUGGUAUAUGUACUGCAGAUCAUUUCUCCCUUUGAAAAAAAUGUGCCUGCCAUUAAGGCACUAGCAAAGAAAAUCGAGCCAGGAGUUUAAGGCAAAGGGGCAGUGCUUCAAAUGUACAUUUUAUGCUGCUAAAGAGAUCCACAGUACUGUGACCAAAAUCCCAUUAAAUGGAACACUUUCUAUUUAAAUCAUCCCAUGACAUGUUUCUGGUAUUACAGUACCGGAGAGGCACAUAACUGUCAGGCUUAGAGACUGCUCUUCUUUUCUUCCCUGAAUGGCUCUGCAGACUCAGACUGUCACUUCCAGUUCAGGAUCUCAGGCUAAGUGCUAAACUUCUGGGCUGAACAAUGCCUUACCUCUGCCUGCCUUAACUUGCAUACCCAGCAAGAAAUUAACAACUUCCUUCUCAAGUGAGAAAACCCUCUCUCCCCUUCCAUCAGCCCUGCUGUACGUCCCUCACGGGAUGGACUCCAGCAUGGUGUUACUGUGGGGUGCAUUGCCCACCCUUCAUGGGCAGUGUUAACCUGGCCAGCAGUGCGUGAUCAGGUAUAACUCAGAUGAGAAGCUGUUGGUUGCUGCUUUUGCAGUC